CUGUGCAUGGCUCAACUUGGUUCAGAGCACUCCGUUCGGGUCGGAGGGAUUGGAGGUUCGAAUCCUCCUGCACAGA
Molecule: transfer RNA, 76 nt
Filed under: Labilithrix sp.
Lineage: Bacteria; Pseudomonadati; Myxococcota; Polyangiales; Labilitrichaceae
Description: tRNA-Pro
Rfam family: tRNA
About the family: Transfer RNA (tRNA) molecules are approximately 80 nucleotides in length. Their secondary structure includes four short double-helical elements and three loops (D, anti-codon, and T loops).
Source: RNAcentral